Long non-coding RNA from Camelina sativa (false flax), 1559 nucleotides. RefSeq lists it as uncharacterized. NCBI's taxonomy places the organism in Eukaryota, Viridiplantae, Streptophyta, Magnoliopsida, Brassicales, Brassicaceae. The record is from RefSeq and is a predicted model, not a curated record.
UUUUUGUUUGUAUCGUUUUUUUUUUUUGGAUAUGAAGAACAUAUCCGGAUCUUUUUUUGGCUGUCUGGAUGUCCUUCGAAAUCUGACGUUUUAUUUCCCCUGAAACGAUUAAAGUUCAUACAACGCGCGAUGAGAUUGAAGUUGUCCAGUUUUAGAUCUCAUAAUCUCCAGAAUUAUAAAGUCACAAAGGUUUUUAUAUGUCGAUUCUCAUUAACAGAGUUCCUGAAACUCAAAUAAAUAAUCGUCUAUAGUGUUUUGGACCUGAAUAUCAAUGAUGGAUAAUAUAGAAGUUUUGCCAGAGAAGAUAAGAAUCCACUCCAGUCUUUCUUAUAAAUUGAAUCUGAUCAAACAUUACUUUAUAUAUGAUAAAACUUACUUUUACAUAUUUGUUGUGUAGGUUAAAUUCAAAGACAACAUGUUAAUGAAAACUAAUCAUCUAUGGUACUUGUGUUUAAACACCAAUUCAGACCAGAUAAAGGGCCACAAUCUGCAACUUUGGGACAGAUUCACGGAAAGCGAGAGACAGACCAUCAUUUGGAAGGUUGUAUGACAUCAGAUACAAAGUGUUAUAGGAAGGUGGGAGCCGAAUAUUACCUUUUUAUGUUUUCACUUUGACAAACCGGAGGACGCAAACCACAAUGACACCAUUAGAUGCCUGGCAGGCUCCGAAUACUUUUUCAGCGAAUAAGCCCCACAAGGUUGUAUAUGUCGAUCCUCAUUAACAGAGAAUAUUAUAGCCAAUGGUUUUUCCUUGGAAUGAUGGUCUGUCUCUCGCUUUCCGUGAAUCUGUCCCAAAGUUACAGAUUGUGGCUGUUGUUAACUUCAACUGUCUCCAUAUCACCAAUGUUCACCACUUGACCGAUCACAUCUGUAAAUUUUGUACCACAUAUAGAAACCAUUAGAGGAAGUUAAUGUUUUUAAAUCGUCCAUACUUUAAGAAUAUAAUAAGAAAUCAAUAACAAUUACCAAUCAACAUGUUAGUGUUAAGCGCUGGAUCUUCAACUCUUUCAAACUUUGUCAAGCUUAGGAAGUUUGAGUCGGACUUAGGAUCACUAACAGCAACAUAGGUCCUAUUGACAAAACUAAGUUUGUACAAAUGAGUAGUCGGACGGAACUGUCCAACCGCAUGAGUGAGUGAAAAGGUCUCGAUGAACCUCCAUGAGCCAAUGGGAAGGUGGUUGACAUAACGGUUCACCAAGUCUUUUUUCACGGACCCGUGUAUUUUCAUUCCCUAUAAUAUAUAAUAUAAAAUAGUGAGGGAAGAGAAACUUAUGAAAAGCAUAGAUUAUAUAUGAAAGUGAUACUCACAGUCUUGUCAACCAAAAUGAGUUCAAGUGUUUCUCCUGUGGUAGCUCUAUACUGCGCCAAUUAUGAAGGUCUCGGAGGAAAGCAAAAGAAGUCGCCAUUGUUUUAGAAAUUUUUGCUAAGUCGAAGGAAAAAGUUAAGAGGUCUUAUACUUUCUAUAUUUUCAGCCAACAAAGCUGUGUUAUUUUUUAAAUCUUUUAUUAAUUGUAAAUAGAAUGACAUUAUCUAUAAAUAAGUCUGAACUCAAAGUCUUC